Molecule: small nuclear RNA, 107 nt
Organism: Cervus elaphus (red deer)
Lineage: Eukaryota; Metazoa; Chordata; Mammalia; Artiodactyla; Cervidae
Source: RefSeq, a predicted model, not a curated record
GUGCUUGCUUCCUCAGCACAUAUACUAGAAUUGGAACGAUACAGAUACAACUAGCAUGGCGCCUACCGAAGGAUGACACACACAUCUAUGAAGCGUUCCAUAUUUUU